RNAcentral lists this ribosomal RNA (466 nucleotides) under uncultured bacterium. RNAcentral describes it as "partial 16S ribosomal RNA". It matches the Rfam family "Bacterial small subunit ribosomal RNA", at positions 28 to 507 of the family's 1533-position model. The record is from RNAcentral.
GAUGAACGCUGGCGGCGUGCUUAACACAUGCAAGUCGAACGAUGAAGCCCAGCUUGCUGGGUGGAUUAGUGGCGAACGGGUGAGUAACACGUGAGUAACCUGCCCUUAACUCUGGGAUAAGCCUGGGAAACUGGGUCUAAUACCGGAUAGGAGCGUCCACCGCAUGGUGGGUGUUGGAAAGAUUUAUCGGUUUUGGAUGGACUCGCGGCCUAUCAGCUUGUUGGUGAGGUAAUGGCUCACCAAGGCGACGACGGGUAGCCGGCCUGAGAGGGUGACCGGCCACACUGGGACUGAGACACGGCCCAGACUCCUACGGGAGGCAGCAGUGGGGAAUAUUGCACAAUGGGCCCAAGCCUGAUGCAGCGACGCCGCGUGAGGGAUGACGGCCUUCGGGUUGUAAACCUCUUUCAGUAGGGAAGAAGCGAAAGUGACGGUACCUGCAGAAGAAGCACCGGCUAACUACGUG